UCUAAGUGUUGUUGUGGGUUUCAGUGUCUAACGUUUGACCAUCCAUAUUAUUUAAAAAUUUCUUAUGAUUAGUAUUUUCAUUGUUAUUAAAUGAUAAACAUAAAUAGUACCUUAUGCGUAACUUAUUUUUUAAAUUUUUUCAUAAAAUUUUUCAAAUAAGAUGGACGGUCAAAUGUCGAGUACUGGAACCCACAACUGUACUUCAA
Non-coding RNA from Oryza glaberrima (African rice), 206 nucleotides. The record is from Rfam. Lineage: Eukaryota; Viridiplantae; Streptophyta; Magnoliopsida; Poales; Poaceae.